UACGGGAGGCAGCAGUGGGGAAUAUUGCACAAUGGGCGAAAGCCUGAUGCAGCUAUGCCGCGUGUAUGAAGAAGGCCUUAGGGUUGUAAAGUACUUUCAUCGGGGAGGAAAAAACAAAACUAAUAAUUUUAUUUCUUGACGUUACCCGAAAAAGAAGCACCGGCUAACUCCGUGCCAGCAGCCGCGGUAAUACGGAGGGUGCUAGCGUUAAUCAGAAUUACUGGGCGUAAAGAGCACGUAGGUGGUUUUUUUAAGUCAGAUGUGAAAUCCCCUGGGCUUAACCUAGGAACUGCAUUUUGAAACUGAAAUACUAGAGUAUCGUAGAGGGAGGUAGAAUUCUAGGUGUAGCGGUGAAAUGCGUAGAUAUCUGGAGGAAUACCUGUGGCGAAAGCGGCCUCCUAAACGAAUACUGACACUGAGGUGCGAAAGCGUGGGGAGCAAACGAGGAUUAGAUACC
Molecule: ribosomal RNA, 457 nt
Filed under: uncultured bacterium
Lineage: Bacteria
Description: bacterial SSU rRNA
Rfam family: Bacterial small subunit ribosomal RNA
Source: RNAcentral